GACGUAGGGCGCGAGCGUUGUCCGGAUUUAUUGGGCGUAAAGAGCUCGUAGGCGGCUUGUCGCGUCGACUGUGAAAACCCGCGGCUCAACUGCGGGCCUGCAGCCGAUACGGGCAGGCUAGAGUUCGGUAGGGGAGACUGGAAUUCCUGGUGUAGCGGUGAAAUGCGCAGAUAUCUGGAGGAACACCGGUGGCGAAGGCGGCAUCCUGGACCGGCAUUGACGCUGAGGAGCGAAAGCCAGGGGAGCAAACGGG
Molecule: ribosomal RNA, 253 nt
Filed under: uncultured bacterium
Lineage: Bacteria
Description: partial 16S ribosomal RNA
Rfam family: Bacterial small subunit ribosomal RNA
Source: RNAcentral